AAAACGCCCAAGCAGAUAGAAAACAAGGAGAACAUUCCUCCUUCUAGGACAGAAGCUUGCACACCCAAACCACCACUGCAGUCAUCUCAUGGAGGAAAGUCAAUGGACCUUAAGAAGCAGCAAACUGCUAGAAAGAUAGCUAGUCUUUUGAGGAAUCCAUCUGCACUUAGGCCCAAAAAUCAGUCACAGUCGUCGUCUCAACUGAAAGGAACUAAUCAGAAAAGUGUGAAAAGGUACACUCUUCAUAAACAUUCCAUACCCGAAUCUGGUUUCACGUUCCUCUUGUAAUCGUUUUGUUAUGUGUUAUGAUGGCUCAUUGCAGGGUAACGAGUCCCAAGAACAUAGCUGGCACUACCAGUCUGAUUCAGGAUAACCAAGCCAUCAAAAAACAAAAGCUAGAUGAUGGAAAAUCAAGACAGGUGAGCCAAAAUUUUCAACAACAUCAAGCUUAACUUCAUAUCUCACUGCAUGACUGAAACUGUUACCUCCUCAUCAUUGUUUUUUUCUAGAUUCUAAAUCCAAAACCAACAACUCUGCUCCACAAGACAAGGCAAGGUCUCGUUAACACCGGUUUCAACGUAUGCCCUUCGGUCACUAGGCAAACUCCGAAGGAGAACAGAAAGGUACGUUCUGCUUCAUGGAUGCUUAUAUAAAGUUUUUUGACAGGCUCUGGUUCUCAACUCUUGUGUGUUCACUCUUUAGGUUUAUGUCCGUGAGCAAGUUGCACCUUUCAUGUCAACUGCUGAGCUGAUGAAAAAGUUCCAAACAAGCACGCGAGACAUGUCACUGCCUCAUGCCAACCCUUCUCUUCCACAGGUAAACUCUUGAUACUUAUUCCUUUUUAUUUUCUUGGAAUAUCUUCAAUUAACUUCCAGACCGCUGCUGCUUUCCUUGUGCAGAACCGAACUAAGUUGACACUGACAAGACCAAAGGAGCCCGAAUUUGUGACAUCCCAACGAGCUCGCCCUGUAAGAGUGAAGAGCAGUGCAGAGCUUGAGGAAGAGAUGUUGGCAAAGAUUCCCAAGUUUAAAGCUCGACCUGUGAACAAGAAGGUAAUGCAUCUGGUUUCACAGUGGUAUAUAUUUACCUCAUAAAUAGAAAUCUAAAACAAAACAAUGCAUUCUCUUUUUUUUUUGAUGCAGAUUUUGGCAGCUCCAGCUUUGCCUGCGCCUCAGAGAAGCACACCACAACUGCCAGAAUUUCAGGUAGAGACAGACAUUCAGAGAGUAUGAUCAUUUUAGAAACGAAUCUGUUAUUGAUCUACAAGAGGCUCAUAUCUUACUAUUUGCAGGAAUUCCAUCUUGAAACAAUGGCGAGGGCUAGCCAACAUGCAGAGACAUCUUCAAUUGCUUCAACAGAAGUGUCUAAGCAGGUAUGGAACUUAUUCUUUGGCUACAGAAAUGUUUUAUGUACUUGGUUUCAUGCCAUCUGAUAUGCCUCUGUUUUCUUUGCACCCAGCAUAAUGAUUGUAGGCCUCACCUUACUGCACCAAAGAGCCCCGUGCUCCAAACAAUGCUAAGAGCUCGUCCUACGAAAGCAAAAACAACUGCGGAACUUGAGCAAGAGGAACUAGAGAAGGCACCAAAAUUCAAAGCAAAACCUUUAAACAAAAAGGUACUACUAAACAAGUGAUAUAGAUAACUUACAUCUACUUUUUAUAUCUCGAUCUAACUUGUAAGCACAUGAACCCAUCCAGAUAUUUGAAAGUAAAGGAGAGAUGGGCAUCUUUUGCAACAUGAAGAAGCACAUAACCAUACCUCGGGGACCCAUGUGACGGCGCGUGAGGGAGUUUGUGGAAAUAAUGUUUCUGGCGUGUUAGCUCCAGCGGUUACUGGAUUUUUCUUAGAUCUCCCGCAUGCUACUGCGUCGAGAGAGGAGCUGGUUCGAGGUUUCCCAGUCCGGUUCGAGCCAAUGGAAAUGGGAUUGAGUAUCGGUCUGAGAACUACCGUGGAAGUCAAGAGGGAUGCCGCUGAUUAUAAGCUUGGAAGGGAUCUGAAUCUAGAACUUAGCUUAGCUCCAUCGAUGGACGUUUAGUCAUCUUUUUUUUGUACUAGAGCUUAAUUUUUAAUUUAACAAGAAUAUCCUUUUUAUAUUAAAGAAAAUUAUCCCUUUUCAGUUCGUCUUGAAGAAAUAUAUUUUUGUCAUUUCUUUAUUGUGGCUGUACUCCUUAUUGGUAGAUUUAUGUUUCUAUACUUAGGUGUUAUAUCAUUUGUUGUCAAUAUGUUUCUACUGUACUGAGGUUGGUCGAUUUUGGACUAGAGAUAAAAAAAAAACCAAAAGCAACAAAAAAACCUUAACUAUUUGUGACAUUUUAGUCUAGGCUUAAAAAGUUAAAAAAGUAAAAAAAAUGGUAAUUUGAAUUAUUUAAGAGGACCUACUUAAAGUCCUAACCAUUUGGGUCUUGACGAGGGAUGAGCAGAUGAGGUAUUGGUGUCAGGUGGGUGUUCACGUGUGCUUUUCGCCGUCCACAAGACACGUAGUAGAAUAACAAAAGUUUUCUUAUUCCUUCCCUUGUCUAAAAAGUCUUCACGCCUCUCUCAUCGUGGCGGUACUCAGUUAAUGAAUCAUGGCGAUACGUAGUUGUGGAUUUAUACUUUAUUCUCUCUUCCCCAUUGUUAAUAAGGAGGACUAUAAUCCACAGCUGGAGUAUUUACAUGUUUGUAAAUCCCAAACAUGCAUGAAUGUAUCUCAUACUAUAUAGUGUUAAUGGACACGUCUCAUUGUGAACAUCUGUCGACCACAACACAUGCCUCCUAUAUAUGAAAACUAAUUGGUUUCGCGAGGUGUCCAAAAUAAAACUUAUCAGUCUUUUAUACGAUAAAGUAUAUGACCAAAUCGUCAAUAAUUUCCUUCUGGAAUACAACUAUAUUCUAGUCGACAAACACAGCCAAAAAAAACAUAACACGUUUCAACGUGAGAGAUUUUGAAUAAUUUGAGAAUAGCGCAAAUGAAUCUGAUUAUACAUGUGAUCGUUACUCAUGGACAAACACGUUUUGGAAUUAGAUGGAACACUUUCAAGAAUGAUAUACCAUUGUUUUCUUCAAAAGAACGGGUAUAAUAUUCGUAUAUAUCCACUUUCUAACUCUGUUUGAUUCUAACUAAGCCUAAGCAUGGCCUGUUCAAUUAUAUAUAGCUUUUAUACGUACGUCCUUAUUCGCGUCCUGAACAUCCUGCAGUUUAUUUCCUUCCUAAUAUAUCAUCUAUUAUCAAAAUCCAUAAUGAUGGGAAAAUCCAUGGACCGACCCCAUCCUGGUAAAUAGUCCGAAUCCAGUGUUAACGAUGUGACGGAAAGAAAUAUACACCGAAGCGAAAAUAUUCAUAGAAAUAGUGAAACAUUAUACAAUCCGAGUCCACAUGAUACAAGUUCAAACAUAUUAUUGGGUAAAAUCCAACCAAAAAGAUAUAAUUCUAGAAACAAAGACAAUACAGACGAUUCUUAAUUAGCUCUCCUGGAGAUCCGUAGAACAAUAAAAUCUCGAAAACAAAUUUCAACAACAAUCCCUCCAUGCAUACUGAGGGAACCGUUGACACUGAUCAUUUUUCCCCAUGAUUCAUGAACGUAAAUUAAUCUCCACCAGAAUAUACAUUCGUGGAUCUAUCAAGUCAAGAGAUCAUUCACCCAUCCAAUAUCAGGGUCGCCACAAGAACCAUCCUCAAACCUAGUCUUGUCCCUAACCGCCGCAGGUGUAAACUCAUUCACUUCUCGCUGGCGAGGAGUGUAAUCAUCGCUGAAGAAGCUUGCCCUAGGUGAGUUGGCUAGGUAACUUGGAGUGGAAGGCGAGAGGGCGAAUUGUAACGGACUGCUUUGUUGCUGUUGUUGGAUAUGGAGACGCUGAGUGCUCAAACCGCAGGACGAGGCGUUUGCAAACGCCGCAGCUGCCGCAGAAACAGGCGAAGGAGAAGGGGAACUCACCUGCAAGGCUUCCGCUAGGGUAAUAGAAUCCAACGAAUUAACAAGGUCGUUUAAAACAUCUUUAUAGUUAACCGAUCCUGCGGCUGCAGCAGAAGCGGCGCAACUCCUCAGCCGUGAGAAGGCAGCAGCUUUGUGAGCCGGAGAAAGAGGUGGAGAUGAGGAGGGAGAUCGAGAAAGAUGAGACAAGUUACCCAAAAGAGUACUCGUCGGAGAACCGCUACAAAACAAACAGCAAGGAUUCUGAUUCUUGGCAGGAGACGCAGAGGCUGAUGAGCCGCCGGAAUCAUUUUCCGGCGGAAGAACCCUAAGCUGACGUGGCGAAUGAGCGAAGAAACAUACUUUUCUCUUACAGUGUUUACCAUCUUUACAAGCCUCAGUACGGUAACGAAUAGGAUGGAGCCAACACUCAAAGACUCCAUGAGCAAACUCACAGUCAUCUCCACGGCUGCAAUCACCACCACGACGAAACUCGGGACAAACCUCACCCGAGUAUUGAAACCUACGAGGGUCACGACGGCGAGCUUUCUCUCCGGGAUGAGCAAAGGGACAGUCAGUCCAGUCGUGGCUUCGGCUACGGGUACAACGUCGGAUCUUGAAUUCGAACAUACGGAAAUGAUCGCUCGCGUAAGGAUCAUCGGUGUCGGAAUCAUAACAAUACUCUUUAGUAUCUUUGUUGUUGUUGGUGUUGUCUUCGUUGAAGCUGUCCUCUCCUUGUUCAGAUGUAGAGAUCUUGUUGCUCUUGUUGUUCCAGUUAUGUUUACGCGGCGAAGAACGAGGGGAAGCCUCCCCUGAAAAAGACUUGGAGGACAAUAGAAGCUUCCGAGGUGGAAUCUCAACCGUUGGUCUCACGACGUCCAUGACUAAUAACAAGAAGACGAAGACUUGUUUUGUUUAUUCUUGUGUUAUAGUUUGAGAGAUGAGCGCAAGAUGAGAGAACAUGAUAUUGCAUGCGGUCUAUUUAUACGGGAGUUUGAGUAUGGAUACAGACACGAGAAUAAGUUAAAACAUAUAUAAAAAUAUUGUUAGUUUUAGCUUUUUUUAGAUUAUUACAUCUGUUUUAUGAAUGGUGAUGAGAUGUAAUAAGAAGACAAAAGUUGAAAGGAGAAGCGUGAUAUGGUAUGGGGAGAGGAGUCGUGGCAAGAGAAGAGAAGAGUAAGAGAGAGGUCUCAUGCAAAGAAGCAGGAGCUGCCUUUCUCUCCUUGCUUCAGACCUAACACAUGUGCUUAUGUUUUCAUCAUCAUAGUCACCUCUUCUCUCUCCCUUAUCAAUAUCCAUUAACUAUCUCUUCCUUUUUCGAUUUGUUUUCUUGUCAAAUUAAUAAAUAAGUAGAAAAACAACUUUUUCAUUACAAAAUUUAUUAAAUUUGUAAAUCAUACGAACCUAAAAGAUUAAUGUACAUGAUUCAAUAAUAUAUAUAGUGGCAUAUUUAAUUUUAUAUUAUACAAAUUUAGAGGGUUCAUAAUUUGCGUACAUCGAAUCUAACAAGACUUUGCAACACAGAAAGGAUAGGCACAAGAUAUAAUACAAGUCCAGCUACAAAAGAUGUUUCAGAAAAUACGUCUUUAUAUUUCAUACGCCAUUUAUCAUCGGGUUAUACAUGAAUUAAAUAAUACCAAUACUUGUAUUUCUCAAAGGGCAGGAUGCAUGUGUAUGUACAAGUGUCACGUUUUCGAUUGGUUGCGUGGCUGUGAUGGAAGCAAAUACAUUUUUGGUUUCUACCUUCAUGGUUUCAGCUCAUAUAUUAAUAUUUUCGAUGACUUUUACGUCCAAAGUUUAGAAUAAAUCAAGUUCGAAUAUGUAUUUUCUUUUGGAAUUGGAUAGAGAAACACGAUAAAAAGGCAACACAAACGAAGCGGUAAUUUACAUUAUUAAACAGUAAACGAUAAAUAUAAUAAACGGCAAAAAGAACAUUGUUUUUGUUAUUAUAUAGGCAUUAAUUUCUGGUUUUUGAGAUCAGUGAAAUGUUUUUGGACCGGUAUUCAUUUUGGCAUCAUUGUGACUCUAAUUUGGAGGUAUCGUCUAUGUCCUUACGUGCGUCAUUGUUCUACAAAUUCCAAAGCUUCUAAAUUUGGUGCUUAUUAGAGAAACAACCUUGUAAUUUGACGGCAAAAUAUGUUCAGUAAUCAUCUGAUGAAGAUUUAUUAUUGCAAUCGGUUCAGAGGGACCUUGAAGUACGUUUGCGCAUUUAGUGAAGAGAGACACUGAUUGCUGUAAUAGAAGACGUAUUCAAGGAACAAACUGAUCAGUAAAACAAAAUUUCAUUGGUGAUGAAACGACGUCGUUGAACAAGGGAAGAUAAGCAUCAAAACGACGCAGUUUCAAGGAUAUAGCCGUUAGAGAGAGGAGCCGAUGCAGAAAAAGAAAAAAAUCUUUAUUCAAAAUCUGACCGUUGUGACGGUACUCGUUCCUUUUUUAUUCACAUUCCCUCCGCAAAGAAGGAACCAAGAAAGAACAUCUCUCUCGCACUCUCUCUCUCCCCCUAGUUCUGCGAUUCGAUCUGGUAUAGGCAUGGAAGGAGCAACGGAGGAACCAAUCGGUAGUGCAGCGACGGCGAUCGUUGAUCAGACGUACGAGUUCUUGGCGCCGCGAUGGUUCGAUUUCGUUAACGGAGAGACGGAGGACGAGGCUCGCCGAGCUGAGCUCUGGUUUGCAUCGGCUCUUAGCUGCGCUCCUUCUCGUGAGUAUCUUCGUUUGAUCGCUAGAUCCCUAGGUUUCGGAAUCGUUGUUAGAUCUGGGGUUUGGAGUUCUGAUUUGAGUCUCAAUUAUGAUUAGGGUUUCUGAUUGAGAAUCGAAAUUAGGGAUUGCAAGUUGAAUCAAGAUAAUUUAUGUUCACAGUUGAAUUCAAGUUUUGUGUGUGUGUGUGUGUGUGUGCAGCAUCGGUUCCUAGAAUCAAAGCAAGGAGAUGUUUCAAGGUAGAGACAAUGUGUAACUUCAAUGAAGAAGCAGAUGAAGAAGAUAAACCAAUAAAGGUUUCGCCUCAAAUCAACAAUGAUUUAUAUCCAUUGCAAGCAGGAAACUUAUAAUUAAGAUUCAAUUUUGUUUGCAGGAUAAAGAACCGUCUGAACCAGUAGCUGCACCUAUUGCUUCACAACCGGAGACUGAUAUUACCUCUGAGGCUAAGAGAGAAGAAGUUGAUACUACUGAAGCAAGCACAACUAAGCCAUCUCUCAUCAGUUCCAAGGACGCAGCAGAUGCAAGGUUCUUUAUUUAUCUUUUUUUUUGAGAGUUUGUAAUGGCAUUUGAGUGAGAUGAGAGGCUGUUCUAAUAAUAUUUGUUCUUGUUCAUUCAACAGAAAUACCAGGGACAAAACGCCCAAGCAGAUAGAAAACAAGGAGAACAUUCCUCCUUCUAGGACAGAAGCUUGCACACCCAAACCACCACUGCAGUCAUCUCAUGGAGGAAAGUCAAUGGACCUUAAGAAGCAGCAAACUGCUAGAAAGAUAGCUAGUCUUUUGAGGAAUCCAUCUGCACUUAGGCCCAAAAAUCAGUCACAGUCGUCGUCUCAACUGAAAGGAAC
Molecule: long non-coding RNA, 7430 nt
Filed under: Brassica napus (rape)
Lineage: Eukaryota; Viridiplantae; Streptophyta; Magnoliopsida; Brassicales; Brassicaceae
Description: long non-coding RNA (BNAP_LNC008637)
Source: RNAcentral